CUUAAAUAAAGUAUUUUACCUGGCUGAACAGUCUAAUACAGUUUUGCAGUCCAUUACAAGGCUUGCCCCUCAGCAUUCACUUCCUGACAAUCACGUCUCAGGGUGAAAGCUGGAUGUGUUCAUGUUACUCUGCCAUUCCUUUACGGUGGCUGAAUUGGCAUUUGAGGAGAACAGAGAGAAUUUCAAAACUGCAGAAUUUCCUACUCAAUGGAAAAUCUAAUUCCUGCCUAGUUCUAGCUAAUGGGACCUGAGUGAGGCAACUGGUGUGCCCCUAAGAAUAGGGGAAUGGGGGAAAAAAUGAUCUAAAACCCGCCUUUAUCACUGUUCAUCAAAAUUCGUCCAUACUUAAUUCCAGCCAUCUUUCUUCUUCUUGCCUCCAGUAAGUACUUUAACAUCCUUUUUAAAAAUUAAAGGGGGAGGGUUAUGGAA
RNAcentral lists this long non-coding RNA (429 nucleotides) under Gopherus agassizii (Agassiz's desert tortoise). Its description in RNAcentral is "lncRNA (ENSGAGG00000000359.1)". The record is from RNAcentral. Lineage: Eukaryota; Metazoa; Chordata; Testudines; Testudinidae.